Molecule: ribosomal RNA, 467 nt
Filed under: uncultured bacterium
Lineage: Bacteria
Description: partial 16S ribosomal RNA
Rfam family: Bacterial small subunit ribosomal RNA
Source: RNAcentral
ACGAACGCUGGCGGCGUGCUUAACCCAUGCAAGUCGAACGGAAAGGCCCUGCUUUUGUGGGGUGCUCGAGUGGCGAACGGGUGAGUAACACGUGAGUAACCUGCCCUUGACUUUGGGAUAACUUCAGGAAACUGGGGCUAAUACCGGAUAGGAGCUCCUGCUGCAUGGUGGGGGUUGGAAAGUUUCGGCGGUUGGGGAUGGACUGGCGGCUUAUCAGCUUGUUGGUGGGGUAGUGGCUUACCAAGGCUUUGACGGGUAGCCGGACUGAGAGGGUGACCGGCAACAUUGGGACUGAGAUACGGCCCAGACUCCUACGGGAGGCAGCAGUGGGGAAUAUUGCACAAUGGGCGGAAGCCUGAUGCAGCAACGCCGCGUGCGGGAUGACGGCCUUCGGGUUGUAAACCGCUUUCGCCUGUGACGAAGCGUGAGUGACGGUAAUGGGUAAAGAAGCACCGGCUAACUACGUG